AGGACGAACGCUGGCGGCGUGCUUAACACAUGCAAGUCGAGCGGAAAGGCCCUUCGGGGUACUCGAGCGGCGAACGGGUGAGUAACACGUGAGUAAUCUGCCCCUAGCUCUGGGAUAGCUCCGGGAAACCGGGAUUAAUACCAGAUACGACCACUUUAGACAUCUGUUGUGGUGGAAAGAAUUUUGGCUAGGGAUGAGCUCGCGGCCUAUCAGCUUGUUGGUGAGGUAACGGCUCACCAAGGCGACGACGGGUAGCCGGCCUGAGAGGGCGACCGGCCACACUGGGACUGAGACACGGCCCAGACUCCUACGGGAGGCAGCAGUGGGGAAUAUUGCGCAAUGGGCGAAAGCCUGACGCAGCGACGCCGCGUGGGGGAUGAAGGCCUUCGGGUUGUAAACCCCUUUCAGCAGGGACGAAGCGAAAGUGACGGUACCUGCAGAAGAAGCGCCGGACUAACUACGCGCCAGCAGCCGC
RNAcentral lists this ribosomal RNA (475 nucleotides) under uncultured bacterium. RNAcentral describes it as "SSU rRNA". It matches the Rfam family "Bacterial small subunit ribosomal RNA", at positions 26 to 518 of the family's 1533-position model. The record is from RNAcentral.